Molecule: long non-coding RNA, 244 nt
Filed under: Elaeis guineensis (African oil palm)
Lineage: Eukaryota; Viridiplantae; Streptophyta; Magnoliopsida; Arecales; Arecaceae
Description: long non-coding RNA (EGUI_LNC024360)
Source: RNAcentral
UUUCUAAAUGUUGACUAAGACUUUAGAAUAUUUGAAUCCUUGUCCUUUUAUCCUAACCUUUUAUUUUGACUAAGGGAAAAAUGAGAUCUUGGUCAAUUCUCUUUUGGCACUGAAAUGAAAUGGCCAAUAUCCUAGAUCUUAAAAACUUUGAUAACAAAGAUUUUUAUUUUAUAUUUAUUUUAUUUUAUUGAGAAAGUUUAGUUCCUUAAAUGCCUUCAUGUCUCUAUGUCCAGCAAACAAAAAG